Molecule: long non-coding RNA, 567 nt
Filed under: Panax ginseng (ginseng)
Lineage: Eukaryota; Viridiplantae; Streptophyta; Magnoliopsida; Apiales; Araliaceae
Description: long non-coding RNA (PGIN_LNC012560)
Source: RNAcentral
ACAUUUCACAUAUCACCCUUAACUUUAACAUUUUAUCAAUUUAACCAUUUACGAAAUAAAAUAAUAAUUAUAAGAAAAUUGAAUACUUUCAUUUCAUAAAAUUUGGGGUCUUAAAUUAAGGAACAUAAAACUAAGUCUAGAACCUUUUAACGUGUGUAUCAUGAUCUGUUUAUGCUAAAUACUAAACUGUAGCCAUGCUAUUGAAAGUUCAAGUCUGGUCUGAUCAGGGAGCAGCGCAGCCGCGCCACUCCCAGGUCAUAAUGUAGCGCGAUCGCGCCACAUGCCAGAACAGUUUGACUAUUUUAUUGGCAAACAGAACCUUGCAGCAUGUGUACAUCAACGUCUUAAGCUGUAAUACAUUACUAGAAUAAUGUUUGAAGUGUUCAAUCAUGUAAUGGUGAUUUAAAACCAAGAAUCUAAAAGCUUUUACAAGUUUUCUAUGUUAAACUUCUAAAAGUAAAAACAAUGUUGAUGUGGUAAGAAUAUGAUCUAUUGUGUAACUAAGAUAAGACUAAAAAUAUAUGUUUAGUAUCUGUAAAUUACACUUGUGUAUCAUGGUUGUAUAAG